GCUUACGCCAUACCAGCCUGAAUACGCCCGAUCUCGUCUGAUCUCGGAAGCUAAGCAGGGUCGGGCCUGGUUAGUACUUGGAUGGGAGACCGCCUGGGAAUACCAGGUGCUGUAAGCU
Molecule: ribosomal RNA, 118 nt
Filed under: Amphiprion percula (orange clownfish)
Lineage: Eukaryota; Metazoa; Chordata; Actinopteri; Pomacentridae
Source: RNAcentral